RNAcentral lists this transfer RNA (71 nucleotides) under Allomyces arbusculus. RNAcentral describes it as "tRNA-Gly". It matches the Rfam family "tRNA". From Rfam's summary of the family: Transfer RNA (tRNA) molecules are approximately 80 nucleotides in length. Their secondary structure includes four short double-helical elements and three loops (D, anti-codon, and T loops). The record is from RNAcentral. Lineage: Eukaryota; Fungi; Blastocladiomycota; Blastocladiomycetes; Blastocladiales; Blastocladiaceae. RNAcentral also lists the same sequence under 2 other names.
GCGCCGUUGGUCUAGUGGUAUGAUAUCACCCUCCCAAGGUGGCGACUCGGGUUCGAUUCCCGGACGGCGCA